AUACGUAGGGGGCGAGCGUUGUCCGGAAUGAUUGGGCGUAAAGGGCGCGUAGGCGGCCUGUUAAGUCUGGAGUGAAAGUCCUGUUUUCAAGAUGGGAAUUGCUUUGGAUACUGAUGGGCUUGAGUGCAGGAGAGGUUAUCGGAAUUCCCGGUGUAGCGGUGAAACGCGUAGAGAUCGGGAGGAACACCAGUGGCGAAGGCGGGUAACUGGACUGCAACUGACGCUGAGGCGCGAAAGUGUGGGGAGCAAACAGGAUUAGAUACCCUGGUAGUCCACACUGUAAACGAUGAAUGCUAGGUGUAGGGGGUAUCGACCCCUUCUGUGCCGCAGUCAACACAAUAAGCAUUCCGCCUGGGGAGUACGGCCGCAAGGUUGAAACUCAAAUGAAUUGACGG
Molecule: ribosomal RNA, 395 nt
Filed under: uncultured bacterium
Lineage: Bacteria
Description: partial 16S ribosomal RNA
Rfam family: Bacterial small subunit ribosomal RNA
Source: RNAcentral